RNAcentral lists this long non-coding RNA (783 nucleotides) under Anas platyrhynchos platyrhynchos (common mallard). RNAcentral's name for it is "lncRNA (ENSAPLG00000021933.1)". Lineage: Eukaryota; Metazoa; Chordata; Aves; Anseriformes; Anatidae. The record is from RNAcentral.
CCCAAAUUGGGGGGGGGGGCGCCGGGGGCUGCUGGAGCGGUGCCGGGAGCGGCUGCAGGGGAGGCGCAAAGGGGGGGGGGGGGGGCGGGGGAGGAGGAGCCCCCCCCCACGGCCAGAGACCCCCCCCGGUGAGGAGGGGCCGCCCCACCUCACCCUCUGAUUGGCCGACUGACGCCUGUGAUUGACAGCUCGGAUUGACCCCUAACACCGGCUCGGAUGAUUGACAGCCCCGGCUGAUUGACAGCUCCACCUGAUUGACAGCUCCACCUGAUUGACAGCUCCAUUUGAUUGACAGCUCCAUUUGAUUGACAGCCCGGGUUGAUUGACACCUCCACUUGAUUGACACUCCAGGCAGCGCGUGAUUGACAGCUCCGUUUGAUUGACAGCCCCAUUUGAUUGACAGCUCAUCAAAUAACAGCCCCUGAUUGACAGCAGCCGGUGAUUGACAGCUCAAUUUGAUUGACAGCCCCGUUUGAUUGACAGCUCCACUUGAUUGACAGCCCGGGUUGAUUGACAGCCUCGUCUGAUUGACAGCCGUGAUUGACAGCUCCGGUUGAUUGACAUCUCCAGUUUGAUUGACAGCCCGGGUUGAUUGACAGCUCCAUUUGAUUGACAGCCCCGUUUGAUUGACAGCUCCAGUUGACACUUGAUUGACAGCUCCAUUUGAUUGACAGCCCCGUUUGAUUGACAGCCCCGUUUGAUUGACAGCCGCCUGGCCCCGCCCCCGCUUAUUUAACAGACUCCGCCCCCUCCCCUGACCCCGCCCCCUCCCCCCUCCCCCCC